AGAAGAGCUGUUAAGAAGUACGUAAGAGGCAGAAUCAAUAGCAUUUGGUGACCAACUGGGUGUGAAGGCCAAAGGAAAGGGGUUGAUGAGUCCCAGGAUAAAAGCCACAGGUUUCUGGAUCUGCUUAUAAACUAUGGUUCCUCAUGAGGCAAGAAGCCAGUAAUAACACCACAAUGUUGAGCCGGCACAAUAGAAGACCAGGUCAGAAGCUCUUGGUCUUCUUGCAAAGAAGAAUGCCAUAUUUCCAGGAAGUGGAGAGGAGAGGAAGAGCAAACAGGGCUGAUCCUGAGCCUCCUUCUGUAGUUGGGAGACCACUGCAAGGAGAAAAGAAAGAAAGAAAGAAAGGAAAGAAAGAAAGGAAGGAAGGAAAGAAAGAAAGAAAGAAAGAAAGAAAGAAAGAAAGAAAGAAAGAAAGAAAGAAAGAAAGAAAGAAAGAAAGAAAGAAAGAAAGAAAGAAAGAAAGAAAGAAAGAAAGAAAGAAAGAAAGAAAGAAAGAAAGAAAGAGAGAGAGAAAGAGAUAGAGAAAGAAAGAAAGAAAGAGAGAGAGAGAGAAAGAGAGAGAGAAAGAGAGAAAGAAAGAAA
Long non-coding RNA from Manis pentadactyla (Chinese pangolin), 582 nucleotides. RefSeq lists it as uncharacterized. The record is from RefSeq and is a predicted model, not a curated record. NCBI's taxonomy places the organism in Eukaryota, Metazoa, Chordata, Mammalia, Pholidota, Manidae. The transcript is spliced from 4 exons.